Molecule: ribosomal RNA, 428 nt
Filed under: uncultured archaeon
Lineage: Archaea
Description: bacterial SSU rRNA
Rfam family: Archaeal small subunit ribosomal RNA
Source: RNAcentral
UACCAGCUCUUCGAGUGGUGUGGAUGUUUAUUGGGCCUAAAGCAUCCGUAGCUGGCUGGGCAAGUCCCCUGUUAAAUCCACCGAUUUAAUCGUUGGAGUGCGGGGGAUACUGUUCGGCUAGGGGACGGGAGAGGCAGACGGUAUUUUCGGGGUAGGGGUGAAAUCCUAUAAUCCCGGGAAGACCACCAGUGGCGAAGGCUGUCUGCUAGAACGCGCCCGACGGUGAGGGAUGAAAGCUGGGGGAGCGAACCGGAUUAGAUACCCGGGUAGUCCCAGCUGUAAACGAUGCAGGCUAGGUGUUUGGGCGGCCACGUGCCGCUCUAGUGCCGCAGGGAAGCCGUUAAGCCUGCCGCCUGGGGAGUACGGCCGCAAGGCUGAAACUUAAAGGAAUUGGCGGGGGAGCACCACAAGGGUGAAGCUUGCGGUUU